ACGAAUGCAGCUGAAGUGGCUCCGUUUCAGGUUCAGGGGAUGUCGAGGGAUGUUCCGGGUGUGGAUAGCCUUGGGCGUCUGCGCUUGGAUAGGCUCGCGACUUCUCCGCACUCCUGUGGGGAGCCGGCCAACAGCAGUUGCUUCCGGCCCAGAAGGUCGGUCGGGAGGUACCUCUGCACUUGUGUGGAGAACGUAUAGCCGUCCGUCCGGUGGUCUGGGAGCGACUGAGGAGAGACGUGAGUUUUCACGCGUGCAGCGCAGGCCCGUUGGGCCGGGUCGCCUCUGUGCGUUUGGGCACCGCGGUGUGGACUGCGUGCAGUGUUCACUGACGGCGAGCUCGCUCGUGCGGGGGGCCGAUCAUGCCUU
RNAcentral lists this unclassified non-coding RNA (366 nucleotides) under Demospongiae sp. GW41383. RNAcentral describes it as "sequence contains 28S rRNA gene". Lineage: Eukaryota; Metazoa; Porifera; Demospongiae. The record is from RNAcentral.